GAGUUAUGCGCCUUUGAAGUUGGAAGUGAGAGAGUGAGAGACACUAGAGAAGGAGACAGUCGUUAUCUCUGCCGCCUCUCACUCUCUCACCUCCAACUUCAAAGGCUCAUAACUC
Molecule: small RNA, 115 nt
Filed under: Caenorhabditis brenneri
Lineage: Eukaryota; Metazoa; Nematoda; Chromadorea; Rhabditida; Rhabditidae
Description: sRNA CBN34364
Source: RNAcentral